CGAGGUGGCGGAAUGGUAGACGCGGUGGACUUAAAAUCCAUUGUCCUAAAAGACGUGCGAGUUCGAGUCUCGCCCUCGGC
This 80-nucleotide transfer RNA is filed under the name marine eukaryotic metagenome. It matches the Rfam family "tRNA". Rfam says of the family: Transfer RNA (tRNA) molecules are approximately 80 nucleotides in length. Their secondary structure includes four short double-helical elements and three loops (D, anti-codon, and T loops). Further hydrogen bonds mediate the characteristic L-shaped molecular structure. tRNAs have two regions of fundamental functional importance: the anti-codon, which is responsible for specific mRNA codon recognition, and the 3' end, to which the tRNAs corresponding amino acid is attached (by aminoacyl-tRNA synthetases). tRNAs cope with the degeneracy of the genetic code in two manners: having more than one tRNA (with a specific anti-codon) for a particular amino acid; and 'wobble' base-pairing, i.e. permitting non-standard base-pairing at the 3rd anti-codon position. The record is from RNAcentral.